Molecule: unclassified non-coding RNA, 148 nt
Filed under: soil metagenome
Description: partial internal transcribed spacer 1
Source: RNAcentral
CCGAGUUUACAACUCCCAAACCCCUGUGAACAUACCACUUGUUGCCUCGGCGGAUCAGUCCCGCUCCCGGUAAAACGGGACGGCCCGCCAGAGGACCCCUAAACUCUGUUUCUAUAUGUAACUUCUGAGUAAAACCAUAAAUAAAUCA